CAGCCGCCGCGGUAAUACGAGGGGUGCAAGCGUUAUUCGGAUUGAUUGGGUGUAAAGGGUGUGCAGACGGCUUAUUAAGUCACUUGUUAAAUUCUUCGGCCUAACUGAAGGUCUGCAAGUGAUACUGAUGAGCUAGAGGGUGGAAGAGAGAAGUGGAAUUCUCGGAGUAGCGGUAAAAUGCGUAGAUCUCGAGAGGAACACCAAUGGCGAAAGCACUCUGCUGGGCCGACACUGACACUGAGAGACGAAAGCUAGGGGAGCAAAUGGGAUUAGAUACCCCAGUAGUCCCUGUCUCUUAUAC
RNAcentral lists this ribosomal RNA (301 nucleotides) under uncultured bacterium. Its description in RNAcentral is "partial 16S ribosomal RNA". It matches the Rfam family "Bacterial small subunit ribosomal RNA", at positions 509 to 807 of the family's 1533-position model. The record is from RNAcentral.